Molecule: transfer RNA, 88 nt
Filed under: Exophiala dermatitidis
Lineage: Eukaryota; Fungi; Ascomycota; Eurotiomycetes; Chaetothyriales; Herpotrichiellaceae
Also listed under: 1 other name
Description: tRNA-Ile
Rfam family: tRNA
About the family: Transfer RNA (tRNA) molecules are approximately 80 nucleotides in length.
Source: RNAcentral
GGUCGGUUAGUUCAGUUGGUCAGAACGUCGUGCUAAUACCACUUAUCGUGUAACACGAAGGUCGUGGGUUCAAGCCCCAUACUGACCA